AACGAACGCUGGCGGCAUGCCUAACACAUGCAAGUCGAACGAGAUCUUCGGAUCUAGUGGCGCACGGGUGCGUAACGCGUGGGAAUCUGCCCUUGGGUUCGGAAUAACAGUGAGAAAUUACUGCUAAUACCGGAUGAUGUCUUCGGACCAAAGAUUUAUUGCCCAGGGAUGAGCCCGCGUAGGAUUAGCUAGUUGGUGUAGGUAAAAGCUUACCAAGGCGAUGAUCAGUAGCUGCUUUGAGAGAAGAGGCAGCCACACUGGGAUUGAGAUACAGAACAGACUUCUACGGGAGGCAGCAGUGGGGAAUAUUUGGCAAUGGGUGAAAGCCGAGCAAUACCGCGUGAAGGAAGAAGGCCUUUGGGUUGUAAACUUCUUUAGUCAACGAAGAAUAUAUGACUUUAGUUGAAAAAUAAGCACCGGCUAAUUACGUGCCAGCCGCCGCCGUAA
RNAcentral lists this ribosomal RNA (447 nucleotides) under uncultured bacterium. Its description in RNAcentral is "partial 16S ribosomal RNA". It matches the Rfam family "Bacterial small subunit ribosomal RNA", at positions 29 to 523 of the family's 1533-position model. The record is from RNAcentral.